UGGAAGCGUCUGGAAAGGCGCGCGAUACAGGGUGACAGCCCCGUACACAAAAAUGCACAUGCUGUGAGCUCGAUGAGUAGGGCGGGACACGUGGUAUCCUGUCUGAAUAUGGGGGGACCAUCCUCCAAGGCUAAAUACUCCUGACUGACCGAUAGUGAACCAGUACCGUGAGGGAAAGGCGAAAAGAACCCCGGCGAGGGGAGUGAAAAAGAACCUGAAACCGUGUACGUACAAGCAGUGGGAGCCUCUUUUAUGGGGUGACUGCGUACCUUUUGUAUAAUGGGUCAGCGACUUAUAUUCUGUAGCAAGGUUAACCGAAUAGGGGAGCCGAAGGGAAACCGAGUCUUAACUGGGCGUUAAGUUGCAGGGUAUAGACCCGAAACCCGGUGAUCUAGCCAUGGGCAGGUUGAAGGUUGGGUAACACUAACUGGAGGACCGAACCGACUAAUGUUGAAAAAUUAGCGGAUGACUUGUGGCUGGGGGUGAAAGGCCAAUCAAACCGGGAGAUAGCUGGUUCUCCCCGAAAGCUAUUUAGGUAGCGCCUCGUGAAUUCAUCUCCGGGGGUAGAGCACUGUUUCGGCAAGGGGGUCAUCCCGACUUACCAACCCGAUGCAAACUGCGAAUACCGGAGAAUGUUAUCACGGGAGACACACGGCGGGUGCUAACGUCCGUCGUGAAGAGGGAAACAACCCAGACCGCCAGCUAAGGUCCCAAAGUCAUGGUUAAGUGGGAAACGAUGUGGGAAGGCCCAGACAGCCAGGAUGUUGGCUUAGAAGCAGCCAUCAUUUAAAGAAAGCGUAAUAGCUCACUGGUCGAGUCGGCCUGCGCGGAAGAUGUAACGGGGCUAAA
This 849-nucleotide ribosomal RNA is filed under the name Escherichia coli. RNAcentral describes it as "partial 23S ribosomal RNA". It matches the Rfam family "Bacterial large subunit ribosomal RNA", at positions 333 to 1185 of the family's 2925-position model. Lineage: Bacteria; Pseudomonadati; Pseudomonadota; Gammaproteobacteria; Enterobacterales; Enterobacteriaceae. The record is from RNAcentral.